Molecule: unclassified non-coding RNA, 241 nt
Filed under: plant metagenome
Description: partial contains small subunit ribosomal RNA, internal transcribed spacer 1, and 5.8S ribosomal RNA
Source: RNAcentral
UUUCCGUAGGUGAACCUGCGGAAGGAUCAUUAAAGAGUAAGGGUCUUCGGGCCCGAUCUCCAACCCUUUGUUUAACUAGCAUGUUGCUUUGGCGGGCCCGUCUCACGACCGCCGGAAGUUUGGCUUCGACCAAACUCCUGGCCCGUGCCCGUCAGUGGCCCCUUCAAAUUCUUGAUCAAGUAUGAUGUCUUAGUUAAAAACUUAAUAGUUAAAACUUUCAACAACGGAUCUCUUGGUUCUG